RNAcentral lists this ribosomal RNA (480 nucleotides) under uncultured bacterium. RNAcentral describes it as "partial 16S ribosomal RNA". It matches the Rfam family "Bacterial small subunit ribosomal RNA", at positions 28 to 507 of the family's 1533-position model. The record is from RNAcentral.
GACGAACGCUGGCGGCGUGCUUAACACAUGCAAGUCGAACGAUGAACCUCGAAAUGACAUCUUCGGAAGGAUUUUUGAGAGGAUUAGUGGCGAACGGGUGAGUAACGCGUGAGCAACCUGCCUUAGACAAGGGGAUAGCCUCGGGAAACCGUGAUUAAUACCCUAUGAGACUCCACUUACGAGUGUAAGAGAAGUUAAAGCUAUUGCGGUCUAAGAUGGGCUCGCGUCUGAUUAGCUAGUUGGUGAGAUAAAAGCCCACCAAGGCGACGAUCAGUAACCGGCUUGAGAGAGUGAACGGUAACAUUGGAACUGAGACACGGUCCGAACUCCUACGGGAGGCAGCAGGGGGGAAUAUUGCACGAUGGGGGCAACACUGAUGCAGCGACGCCGCGUGAGCGAUGAAGGAAUUCGUUACGUAAAGCUCGGUACUUGGAGAAGAUAAUGACGGUAACCAAGGAGGAAGCACCGGCUAAAUACGUG